CUCUCUCUGCGGAAGCCAGCCACCGCUCUCCAAGGACUCUCGAGCAGCUCCAUCUACAGAUUCACAUGGAGAAGAAUUAAGGGUUCCUGCCAAUCACCAGCACCACUUUGCCAGCCUUACAGUUGGCAUCUGUGUGAAGAUGUGAAUGGAGGAGGCAGAGUAGGCAGUGAGUGCCGCAGCCACAGCUUGUGUUCUCUGCAGCCCUGGCACAGAAGAUAGGAACACUCAUGGGGGAUGCGGCCACUGUGAUGUCUUCCCACACAAGAAGUGCCAAGUGCUUUUCUCAUGCUUUUCUGGAUUGUCCCAUGGUGGACGAGUCAGCAGGAGUGAGAUGGAGCAGCACAGUAGAGGGGCCAGGAUAUCGUUGUACAUAUUCUCAGCUAAGUGAGCACCAAUAGAGGAGAGGGAGAGUCUCAUGGAAGUUCCUUCUAAGCCUUUGGCUCUUUUUACCUUCAACAAGGUGUGCCACCUCUUUGAUCCAGCAAGUGGGAAGAACAGUCCCGGCCUCUUUGCACACAAGACCGUGAUACCAAUGCACCAUCACAGGCCCCACAGGGGAGCUGUCCGCUUCCCCACACAGCUGCUAGGGGCUCUUUUGCAUGUUCCCAACCUUUCCUGCCUUUAUCUGAUAUUCGUUCCUUAGAUCCUGGGAUGAGGAGGUGGACCAGCAGAAGGUGGGCUUGUGAAGGCAGCCCGGGGUCCAAAUCCUCCUGGCUCUUCAGCUUAGCGGGUUAGUUAACAUUCAGAAGCCUUCAUCUCCCAUCUGCAAAAUGGGCAUGUCCAACUCAGAAGCUGCCUUGAAGAAAGGGUCUACCCAGCAUGGUGCGUGGAGCCUAAGCAGUCAGUACUUCAGGACUUCACCCGGCCCCUUUCCAAUAACUGCUGCUGUCGCCCUCACAGGAUGUCACCUUCAGCGUCUGAAAGCUGGGUUUGAUGCGUCUGGAAAGGCGUCCCUGACAGGCGUCGUUGCCAGGAGCCCCUAGUGCCACCAGCAGCCAGCAGGGGAGGGCGUCCUCUGCCCGCUCACUUCUGACCCUUCUCUCGUUGCACCCGGAACAUGGUGCAGCUGGGAGCAGCCUGGGCUGCGCGGAAGGCUCAGAUUUGGGGACGGCCCUUGCCAGUGACUGUGAGCUGGGGUGUCUUGGAAACUCCCAGUCUCAGCUUCUCCAUUUAUAAGAUGAGAAUGAUCAUACCAGACUCAGGCAAGGUUGUUUGUGCAUUAGUGAAAUCAGACGUAUUAAAUAAAGUACCACAUUGAUCGUGGAGUUGUUGAAUAACCAAGAA
This is a long non-coding RNA of Homo sapiens (human), 1284 nucleotides long. Ensembl annotates it as long intergenic non-protein coding RNA 658. Lineage: Eukaryota; Metazoa; Chordata; Mammalia; Primates; Hominidae. The record is from Ensembl.